Long non-coding RNA from Toxorhynchites rutilus septentrionalis, 661 nucleotides. RefSeq lists it as uncharacterized. The record is from RefSeq and is a predicted model, not a curated record. NCBI's taxonomy places the organism in Eukaryota, Metazoa, Arthropoda, Insecta, Diptera, Culicidae. The transcript is spliced from 3 exons.
AAUCCAGUGUCUGAACUGUCAGCCCGACCAGCUUAGUUUGUUUUGAUCAAGGUGUGUAUAUAUAAAUAAGGUGUGUAUAUAUAAAUAAGGUGUGUAUAUAUAAAUAUCAUGUGAUGUCGGAAAAGAUAUUAAAAAAGCUUUUGUUCGGAUAUAUAUAACUGCACUGGAAGAGUGGGAUGGCGUUUUUGAGCUACAACAUUAACCAAUGCAUUCACCAUCAAGAGCAGAUACUAAAACCUAUCCUGCAGAAAUUGAGCCUCGCGGACGGAGGUUUGAUUAAAUACCACAUACGGUUACACACAGUGACUUUCAACACAUUUCGGCUGGUUCGUCACUUUUUACUUUCAUUUUUGGAUGAAUGUCGGGAGUGAGAAUUGAACUCGUGAAACCACAAUACUCGUCAUACUCUAUGUCCCUUUAUGGUCAUGCAAGGUGUCGUCAGUGCACUCUGUAGUCAUUAUUUGUUGGUUUUUAAUGCUUCUUGCGCAUUGACAAUUAGCUAAAACUUUGUGAUGGCCAAUUUUUACUUUACACAGAAACAGGUAAGCGAUCUACUCAUAUGUUUUAUAUAGGAUAAGCUGUUUCAUAGGAUUUCUUCAUUGUUACUACAGCUCCUGUUGUUAUUGUUGCACAUGCUUUUGCUAGGUGUACCACUCAGUAU